This 491-nucleotide ribosomal RNA is filed under the name uncultured bacterium. RNAcentral describes it as "partial 16S ribosomal RNA". It matches the Rfam family "Bacterial small subunit ribosomal RNA", at positions 29 to 506 of the family's 1533-position model. The record is from RNAcentral.
AGUGAACGCUGGCGGUAGGCCUAACACAUGCAAGUCGAACGGCAGCACAGUAAGAGCUUGCUCUUACGGGUGGCGAGUGGCGGACGGGUGAGGAAUACAUCGGAAUCUACUUUUUCGUGGGGGAUAACGUAGGGAAACUUACGCUAAUACCGCAUACGACCUACGGGUGAAAGCAGGGGAUCUUCGGACCUUGCGCGAUUGAAUGAGCCGAUGUCGGAUUAGCUAGUUGGCGGGGUAAAGGCCCACCAAGGCGACGAUCCGUAGCUGGUCUGAGAGGAUGAUCAGCCACACUGGAACUGAGACACAGUCCAGACUCCUACGGGAGGCAGCGGUGGGGAAUAUUGGACAAUGGGCGCAAGCCUGAGCCAGCCAUACCGCGUGGGUGAAGAAGGCCUUCGGGUUGUAAAGCCCUUUUGUUGGGAAAGAAAAGCAGCAGGUUAAUACCCCGCUGUUCUGACGGUACCAAAAGAAUAAGCACCGGCUAACUUCGU